AAGCUGACCCACGCCAUUGGUUCGCCAGGACGCAGCCGCGUCUUGGCGAGACAACAGGGAACCCGGUGCGAUUCCGGGGCUGCCCCGCAGCGGUAUGUGGGAACGAAAGCUGUCACCGCGGGAGCGGUAAAGCACUGGGCGUCCAGCCCGGGAAGCGACAGCCGGCAGGCACGAGCGGUACGCCCACGAGUCCGAAUACCUGCCAAUGGCACGCACGCCGA
RNAcentral lists this non-coding RNA (221 nucleotides) under Streptomyces sp. The record is from RNAcentral. Lineage: Bacteria; Bacillati; Actinomycetota; Actinomycetes; Kitasatosporales; Streptomycetaceae.